This 494-nucleotide ribosomal RNA is filed under the name uncultured bacterium. RNAcentral's name for it is "partial 16S ribosomal RNA". It matches the Rfam family "Bacterial small subunit ribosomal RNA", at positions 28 to 507 of the family's 1533-position model. The record is from RNAcentral.
GACGAACGCUGGCGGCGUGCUUAACACAUGCAAGUCGAACGGAAAGGCCUGCUUUCCCUUGUGGAUUGCGGGUACUCGAGUGGCGAACGGGUGAGUAACACGUGAGUGAUCUGCCCCCAACUUGGGUAUAAGCCUGGGAAACUGGGUCUAAUUCCCGAUAGGACUGCAGGGUGGUGCCUGUGGUGGAAAACGAUUUUCUAGUGGUUGGGGAUGAGCUCGCGGCCUAUCAGCUUGUUGGUGGGGUAAUGGCCUACCAAGGCGGCGACGGGUAGCCGGCCUGAGAGGGUGGACGGCCACAUUGGGACUGAGAUGCGGCCCAGACUCCUACGGGAGGCAGCAGUGGGGACUAUUGCACAAUGGGCGGAAGCCUGAUGCAGCGACGCCGCGUGGGGGAUGACGGCCUUCGGGUUGUAAACUCCUUUCGACCGCGAGGAAGCCACCUGGUUGGAAGGGUGGCGACGGUAGUGGUAGAAGAAGCACCGGCUAACUACGUG